This 1092-nucleotide long non-coding RNA is filed under the name Anser cygnoides (Swan goose). RNAcentral describes it as "lncRNA (ENSACDG00005017098.1)". The record is from RNAcentral. Lineage: Eukaryota; Metazoa; Chordata; Aves; Anseriformes; Anatidae.
AUGCAGCAUCCUGGCUGUCACAGAGUGGUUCUGGGGACCCAGCCCAGCAAAAGCUCACGCUGCAAACUGCAGCUCCCAAAUCCGCUUUGUUUCCCUGGGUACAGCAGCCCCAAGCACACCCCCGGGAGGGGCAGCGGGAGAGGCCCUGGGGCAGUGCCACCACCCCAUGGUGCCACCACCUUGGGGACAGGGACCCGCCAGGGUGCGUGGGGCUCCGCAUGGCCGAAGCUCUGGGCAGAGCCCCUCAGUGCCUGCCCACCCGGCCGGCGUGAGCUACACCCGCUGAGCACCGUCCCCUCCUGCAGGCAGGGUCUCCAGUGCAAGGAGCUGGAACCAGACCAGAUGCAACCAGAACACACAAAUACCUAUGGAGAAGUGCCAAGAGCUUUUCCUAGAAAGCGUUUGCUGUGGAAGAGACGGUGGCGGGGCCCAGCAGACCUCGCUGGAAGGAGACAGUGGGACUGCGAUGGACCGUGCACCAGCACCAGCUCACCUCGCCUGCCUGGUUCAGCAAGCAGGGCAUGCAGGCAGGGCACCUCCUUCGCUAAUCCAGCCACGGCUUUGUCCUUUGCUCCAUUUCUGCUCCCAGGCUGUGCAUGUCUGCUGCCUGCGGACAGGGCUUGGGGGGGAUGCCCCGCUGGGAGCCAGCAGCAGAGGGUCCACCCCCAGCACAGCCCCAGCUUGGCGGGCACAACUGCACUGGGACCAGCGGCACCGGGACUGGCCUGGGAGCAGGGGUAUGGUGAAAACACGACCGGCCCCAGCUCUCCACAUCAGUCUAGAGCAAUUGCAAGAACAAGUUCAGGUGCCCUAACCCACAGAUCAGCAAAUUCCUUGCAACAGGGGCCAGGCCCUGGGUUUGCACAGUGGGGCCUCCACGACCCCUAUGGUAGGAAACAAACGCUCCAUUAUGGUGGUGACCCCACGGCUUCCCGGGGCAGCCCCAGCUCCUCCAGCACCAUCCCAGCCUCCGUGGGGAGGCUGCUGCUGCCUGGAGGCUGCUGUGGCCGGAGGGGGACGGCGGGGACAGCCCGCCCCAGGACAGGCACUGCCGCACCCUGCUCGAGGCGCGGGGAGAAACCCUGCGUGUGA